CAAUAGCGUAUAUUAAAGUUGUUGCAGUUAAAAAGCUCGUAGUUGAACCUUGGGUCUGGCUGGCCGGUCCGCCUCACCGCGAGUACUGGUCCGGCUGGACCUUUCCUUCUGGGGAACCUCAUGGCCUUCACUGGCUGUGGGGAGGACCAGGACUUUUACUGUGAAAAAUUAGAGUGUUCAAAGCAGGCCUUUGCUCGAAUACAUUAGCAUGGAAUAAUAAAAUACGACUCGCGUGGUCUAUUUUGUUGGUUUGCACACGCAAGUAAUGAUUAAUAGGGACAGUUGGGGAUAUUCAUAUUUGAGCGUCAGAGGUGAAAUUCUUGGAUCGCUGAAAGAUGAGCUUAGGCGAAAGCAUUUAUCAAAGAUGUUUUCAUUAUUCAAGAACGAAAGUUAGGGGAUCGAAGACGAUCAGAUACC
RNAcentral lists this ribosomal RNA (417 nucleotides) under uncultured eukaryote. Its description in RNAcentral is "bacterial SSU rRNA". It matches the Rfam family "Eukaryotic small subunit ribosomal RNA", at positions 592 to 1016 of the family's 1831-position model. The record is from RNAcentral.